This 394-nucleotide long non-coding RNA is filed under the name Taeniopygia guttata (zebra finch). Its description in RNAcentral is "lncRNA (ENSTGUG00000020827.1)". The record is from RNAcentral. Lineage: Eukaryota; Metazoa; Chordata; Aves; Passeriformes; Estrildidae.
CUACCCUUCCUGAGCUCUAAGCACACUCAGACAAUGAAUAGAAAAGGAAUCUAACAACCUUCAGCCACUUUCAGUAUAAACUAUCCAGCAAAGGAAAGGAGACUUCCAGACUUCUUGUGUGUGGAACAUGUCCUGGCACCAGAAAAUGCAGAGUCUACAAGGAGGAGACACAGCACCAGGAGAUACAGCUUUGAGUACACAUUGGUCCCUUCUGGAUGUAUUUGACAGUUCUGGUUACUCAGUCCUGAAAAGGAUUUGCAGAACAUCAAUGAAUUGAAGACACAAGUAACGCUCUAAGUUUUCCACAGGGAGUGGCAUUAUUUUCUCCCAGCGUGACACAUGGGUGAUUCUGCAGCAGCUGGACUCAGAACCUUGGCACAUUCUUGAGACUGUC